Molecule: long non-coding RNA, 535 nt
Organism: Sander lucioperca (pikeperch)
Lineage: Eukaryota; Metazoa; Chordata; Actinopteri; Perciformes; Percidae
Exons: 3
Source: RefSeq, a predicted model, not a curated record
GUGCUUCUAAUUUUUCCUUUUAGGGCAAUUUACUCCUACUACUACUUGCAGCCUCUCUUUGUGGUUAGCGUGAAAUUCUCCUCUGUGGUACCAUAGCUACUGUAGAUAAAGUAAGCGUGACGGUGGACACAGCAAGAGUCAUACGUUGCAUGCAGCCAGACAAGCACCAGAAACCUAAGCAGAGCAAAUUUGGCUCAUGGAAGAGUUCUUUGAGUAGAAGAAAAGCUACAAAAGAAAUGCGAAGACCCUGAUGCCAACAGCAAGUACAGUGACCAUGAGAGGUGGGAAUGAGUGGGAGAUUAAGCUGAAUACCUAUGAAAAGAGGGCAACCCUUGCUGUUGUUCGAUACAGUUUGAUGGGAUGAAAGGGGACGACGUGAACAGAAAACCUUCUACUACUGAAAACGGAGACACUGAAAUGUUCUGUUUUUAUUUCUUCUGGACUUUCAAUCAUAUGUCAUUCAGCCUGUGUACAGUGAGCCUUUAGUUUAUAUAAUGUGACAAAAGUUUUCAUUAAAAUAACAAGCAAGCCCUAA